GACGAACGCUGGCGGCGUGCCUAAUACAUGCCAGUCGAACGCACAGUUUAUACCGUAGCUUGCUACACCAUAAACUGUGAGUUGCGAACGGGUGAGUAACGCGUAGGUAACCUGCCUGGUAGCGGGGGAUAACUAUUGGAAACGAUAGCUAAUACCGCAUAAUAUUGAUUAUUGCAUGAUAAUUGAUUGAAAGAUGCUAUUGCAUCACUACCAGAUGGACCUGCGUUGUAUUAGCUAGUAGGUGAGGUAACGGCUCACCUAGGCGACGAUACAUAGCCGACCUGAGAGGGUGAUCGGCCACACUGGGACUGAGACACGGCCCAGACUCCUACGGGAGGCAGCAGUAGGGAAUCUUCGGCAAUGGACGAAAGUCUGACCGAGCAACGCCGCGUGAGUGAAGAAGGUUUUCGGAUCGUAAGGCUCUGUUGUAAGAGAAGAACGGGUGUGAGAGUGGAAAGUUCACACUGUGACGGUAUCUUACCAGAAAGGGACGGCUAACUACGUG
RNAcentral lists this ribosomal RNA (505 nucleotides) under uncultured bacterium. RNAcentral describes it as "partial 16S ribosomal RNA". It matches the Rfam family "Bacterial small subunit ribosomal RNA", at positions 28 to 507 of the family's 1533-position model. The record is from RNAcentral.